This 440-nucleotide ribosomal RNA is filed under the name uncultured bacterium. Its description in RNAcentral is "partial 16S ribosomal RNA". It matches the Rfam family "Bacterial small subunit ribosomal RNA", at positions 338 to 795 of the family's 1533-position model. The record is from RNAcentral.
CCUACGGGGAGCAGCAGUGUGGAAUAUUGCACAAUGGGGGAAACCCUGAUGCAGCAACGCCGCGUGAGUGAAGAAGUAUUUCGGUAUGGAAAGCUCGAUCAGCAGGGAAGAGAAUGACGGUACCUGACUAAGAAGCCCCGGCUAACUACGUGCCAGCAGCCGCGGUAAUACGUAGGGGGCGAGCGUUAUCCGGAUUUACGGGGUGUAAAGGGAGCGUAGACGGUUCUGCAAGUCUGAAGUGAAAGCCCGUGGCUUAACCGCGGAACGGCUUUGGAACCUGUGGAACUGGAGUGCUGGAGAGGCCAGCGGCAUUCCUCGUGUAGCGUUGAAAUGCGUAGAUCUUAGGCGGAACACCAGUGGCGAAGGCGGCUUUCUGGACAGUAACUGACGUUGUGGCUCGAAAGCGUGGGGAGCACACAGGAUUAGAUACCCUGGUAGUC